RNAcentral lists this long non-coding RNA (16559 nucleotides) under Equus caballus (horse). RNAcentral's name for it is "lncRNA (ENSECAG00000057849.1)". The stretch from base 14656 to 14725 matches the Rfam family "mir-10 microRNA precursor family". Lineage: Eukaryota; Metazoa; Chordata; Mammalia; Perissodactyla; Equidae. The record is from RNAcentral.
UGCAAUAUUAAAUCAGCUUUCUAUUUUAUUGAACAGGCGAUGACUGGCUUCUGAGUGAGAACUCUUAAGAGUGUGUUCGUUGAAGGUAGGGUGUUCAGAGAGUACUGAAGAUAAAAAAUCACCACAAAUACUUCAUGUACGAAUAAGGAGUUGAUUAAAGUGUGGUAUAUACACACAAUGCAAUAUUAUUCAGCCACGAAAAGGAAGGAAGUAUUUACACAUGCUACACUGUGGAUCAACCUCGAAAACAUUACGCUAAGUGAAAGAAGCCAGUCACAAAAGGUCACCUACUGUAUGAUUCCGUCUAUGUGAAAUAGCCAGAAUAGGUAAAUCUACAGAAACAGAAAGCAGAUUGGUGGUUGCCAGGGGUGAGGGUGUGGGGGUGGUAAAUGGGGAGUAACUGUGUAAGGGGUUUAGGGUUUUCUUUUGGGAUGAUAAAAAUGUUUUAGAACUAGAUGGAGGUGAUGGUUGCAUAGCAUUAUGAAUGUACUAAAUAUCACUGAAUCACUGACUUUACAAUGGUUAAUUUUAUGUUAUGUGCAUUUCAUCUCAGUUGAAAAGAUACUUCGGGGGAAAAAAGUACAAAAAAAAGACACCUGGAGCCAGCCCCGGUGGCCUAGUGGCUAAGUUCGGCACACUUCGCUUCUGCCGCCUGGGUUUGGUUCCCAGGCACAGACCUAUACGAUGUCAGUGACCAUGCUGUAGCGGCCACUCACAUAUAAAAAGAGGAAGAUUGGCAACAGAUGUUAGCGCAGGGCAAAUCUUCCUCAGCAAACAGAGGAAGAUUGGCAAUAAAUGUCAGCUCAGGGCCAAGCCUCCUCAGCAAAGUAAAACAGAACAAAGCAACACGAAACACCUGAGAAAGUUGACUUUUUAGGAAGCCUUCCUGACUAUAUAGUCUGGUCCUUUGGUGAGUUUUGUGAAGAAAGGCUCCCCUCUUCCCUACGUUUUUUUCUGCCUUUGUAGCCCCAUCUAACAUUUUGGUUUUCUGUACCCCCAAGAGUACUCAAGUUCUGUUUGAGUCACUUCUUUCAUUCAUUCACAAACUCAUUCAUCCACUUGGUGUCAAGGAGAAUGAUAAUUAAUGUGAUCCAAGACAGAGAACAGCAAGCUGAUCCUGCUGUGUAACUUUGACAGGCAUGUUAACCUCUCUGGUCUUAGGAAGACAUCAACUAGGUUACUUCUCAGGACUCUCAGUUUUAAAGUUCUAUAUUUAAGGAAUGAGAAAUGCAUUAUUAGGUUUCCUUUAAAUAUUCUACCAGCUAAUUUCUCCAAUUCUUUUACUUCGAAUUCAUUUAUCAAACUUAGUUAGACAGACAGAAAAAAAUACAUUACCCUUUGAAUUAGCCUGCUCUUUUUCAUCAGACCUCAAUAAUGAGGAGAAAAUUUAUCUGCAUGUCUGUGGCAAAACUUCUUUGACCAUGGGAAAGCUUUCCUCAUAUUUUUUAAGAUAAAAAUGCCAAAAACAUGUAACUGAUAUACUUUUAACAUUUGAAAAGCAUCAAAAAUGAUUUUUAUCUUUAAUUAUAAAGUGUAACAGAAAAAUAGACACUGCAAUAACUUAAUAGCCCAUCAAAACACUAUCUUCAAGGGUCAUUUAGCAUUUCCAUGAUAAAUUGCUAUUUUUAGAAGCUUAUGUAACCAAACAAAGAAUGUGUUCUUGGCUAUGGCCACGAAGACAAGUUAUUAUCGUGGGAGGGACAAAGGAAUCUGAGAGGCUCAUGAGAGACGGAGCCAGUUGUAGAGGACAUUUCAUAGAGUGCCCUUUCUCUUUAGUCUCCAUUUUCUGCGAUCAGGGUGAUGCAGUGCAUUUCAGUGCCAUUCUCACUUUUGAAGUGCUCUUUCAUCAUUAGCUAAUAAAUACUCAUCAAUGAAUUUUCCUCCUCGUCUUGGAAGUUGGAGGAAAAAGAAAGAUAAUCGCUUUCUAUCUUGUAAGUAUUACUCCCCUUGGGGCUUCCCCUCUUGUGCUUCUAGUAGAAACAUAAGAAAUAAAUUAUACCUACUCAUUUGAAAGGACCGAAGGGUACCAUUCCUUCCAUAUAGAGCACCUGGAAAUUUGCAUCAAAUAUUAAUGAUCUUCAGUAACUACCCAACUGUAGUAGCAGAAGGAAGGUCUGUCUUCCAUUACCAAGCUCUAUACUGUUUAGUGUCAUCUUGAGGAAGGAUGCCUUGGGGGAGUCUUCAUCAGGGAGCUGAGUAUGGUAGAGUUGGGCUGGGAAGAAUUGGUGUCUGUCUGAGCAGGAGCUCCCAAUGUACUUCGUAUCUCUAAUGUCCAGGGUCAAAAACUAAGGGUUUUGGAAUUUUCUAUUCUUUUGUAUUAUCCACACUUCUCCCCCAUGUCAUCUUAGUUCACUUAGACUUGGCUGUGAAUUUCACAGUUUCUGGUUGGUGAAUUGCACUACGCAUGCUUAAAGAUGCCCCUAGACUGUUCUAGCUGUGGAUGGGUUUUGAAGAAGACAAUCUGAUUUAUAGCAUAAGUAAUGUCUUACUGGGUGUCUGCUGCCUUGUCGUUGGUAGUAGUGUUAUCCAAUAGACAUAUAACGCAGACCACAAAUAUGAGCCGUAUAUGUAAUUUUAAAUUUUAUGGUAACCAUAUUAAAAAAGUAAAAAUAAACAGAUGAAAUUAAUAUAUUUUAUUUAACCUAAUAUAUCCAAAAUAUCCGAAAUAUUAUCACUUCAAUGUAUAAUCAGUAUGAGAAGUGUUAAUGAGAUAUUACACAUUUUUUUCACCAAAUCGAUGAAUUUUGAUGUGUAUUUUACACUUACAACACAUCUCAGUUUGGACUAGCCACAUUUUUAUUAUCAACAACCACAUUUCAUAUGCCUGGUGGCCACUGUAUUGGACAGGGCAGGUUUAUAGUUAUGGAUAGACAAUAUUUUAACAGAAAUUUUUAAAUUAAAAAGCAUUCUGAAUUAUUUACCACAAAGUGAAAUCCUGAUGUAAAUUACUGUAAGUUUUUUCUUCAAAGCUUUCUCUUUAUCAAGUAAAUUACCUCUUGUUUUUUCGGGAAUGAGGGGAAAUUAGAGGGUUCUAGCAUUUGCCAGCAGGGAAAGGCUUACUAUAUGUUUUCUCAAACCUACAAUUCGCUCGGGUGGUUAGCGUUGGUACUGGAAUUAACCACCGUAGUGUGAAUGAAUUACAAUCCCUCCCUCCCCAUUUUGCUUUAAGUCCUGCUGUACCUUGAGCUUGGAUCGAACUAAAAACCAGGAAAUGAUGUGACUGUUGAUGUCAGAUAGCAGUUAGGAUUUGACCGUGUUUCUUUGAGCUUAAUCCUAUAGUAGCUGCCCUUUAAGUGGUUUCCACAUACUCUUACUUUUUAUUGCCAUCAUCCUCUGAAAUAAUCUUUUGUGUUUAUUUUUAUGUGGUUGUGUUCCCAUGAAUAAAAAGGAUCCUUCUUAUACUUGUAGCUUCUCACCUCAGCUCAACUGACAGAAUUCUAAUGGGCCACAGCAGCAACCUAAGGACAUAGAGGCGCCAACGUGGCCACAAUGAACUCCCUUCUUGGGCUAAAAACCUCAUUUUUUUGGAGAACAGUAUCACAAAUAUUUGGUCAGUCUGUCAUUCCAUCAACUGGAACUUUAUUCCUUGGCGCUUCCACACAUUUACAGGGGAAUGAUCAUUAAUGUUGGUAAUUAUUUAUCUUUGGACAUCAACCAUGAGCAAAGCACUGUGGUAGGUGCUGUGAGAGAUAUGAAAAGGAAACAUCAUCCUCUCUGCCCCCAAGGUACUUAGCCUGAUGAUGCCGGUAAGCAUGAUACAUAAGAGUCCCAGUCAAGGUUCUAAAGGUUUGAGCAGAAGUAUCAGCAGGGUGCUCAGAUGUCCCUGAGGUCCUCUAAGAUAUAGGGAGCAAAUAUUUGCCAUGGCCUGUUUCGAGCCAGGAGAUUUACUAGAUGCCAGUGACAAUUAAGAGGAAGACAUAGUUUCUCUUCCUGAGGAUCCCCUAAUCUACUGUGAGAUGUGGGAAACACAACCACCUGCAGAGCCGUAUGAGAUAUGAUAUGAUAGAGAAAUAGAACAACUGAAACACAGACGAAGGAGAGACCAAGACCUCCAGUCCCAGUUGGGGUCAUAUCUUCAGAGGCAAUGGUGAUGGGGCUGAUUUUCAAAGCAGAAGUUCAGUGACAGGAAGAGGAGAGGAAAGCAGCCUGGUGAGAAAGGGGCAGGAACGAAAGCAAAGGUGGUCCUAGGGCUGGUGAGCCUUGGAGAAAAGUUGUAUCUGAGCAAGUUGCAUUCUCCCCAAAUCAUGUGAUUCUGUCUUAGGAUACUUGAUUCAAAUUAUGCCUGUGUAUGUUCUCUAGAGUUCAUGGAUGUUUAAAAAAUUAUUGUAAGUUACUAAAAAUGGAUAAUUUAAUUUUCGCUAUCAUUUAAAAACUCCCACAUCAAUGGCUAUUUUUGUUUCAUCAUUAUAAUAGAGAGGUGCCAUGUCAUGAUGGUUAAGAGCUGACUCUGGAAGCCAGAUUCAAAUCUCAACUCUGCCACUUAAAGCUCUGUGAUAGUUAGCACCUCUGUACUUCAGUUUCCUCAUCUGGAAAAUGGAAAGUAAUAAUAGCAUUUACCUAUGUUUAGUAGGUCAUUUUUAGUAAUAAAAUGAGUUAAGGUUUGGGAAGGGCAUGAAAUAGUGUCUUGUUCAUGGUAAGUAUCCUAAAUGAUUGUUAAAUCAAAUGAAUGCAAUACACAAACUUCUAGAGGCUUGCAAUGGCAAACAGCUUUCUGUGUGACUGGCAUGUGAUCAGGGCAGUGCUGAUUGUUUUUUUUGAGACAGUGAAUUUGCUUGUUGUCUAACUGGUCUGAAAUCAGUCCCUGAUAUACACUGACAUGAAUGCAGAUUGCAGUAGACACCCUUCUAAUAGGAUUGUAUGAGCUUUCUAUUUUAUUUUAGUACAUGCUAAAAACACUUUUAAUUGUUCUAAAUAUCUAAAUUAUCCACUUCAAAGAAUUUGCAUUUGAAAUAUCCAGAAAAGCAAGUCUCUUCUAAGAGAAUGUGUGAGGCUAUGUGUACAUCAACAUUGGAUCGUAUAUGAAAAUAGCACUUUUGUAGGUAAAGGUAACGUUGUCCCAUUGCAAUGAGUGAUUGUUUUGCAUUUAUGUAAAAAUUGCUUAUUAAGAAAAAAUCCAAACAGGCAUAAAAGUAAAGAGAAUAAUAUAGUGGCCGCUCACAUAUCCAUCAUUUAGAUUUUAACUAUUCUUUGGUUAAAGUAUUUUAAAGCAAAUUCCGGAAAUCAUGGCAUUUCAAUCCCUAAAUAUUCGAUUAGAAAUUUAGAGGUAUAUUUUCUUAUAUAGCCACAAUGCUACCCCACCUAACAGUAACCUGUCUUUGAUAUAUCCCAUCCAUAUUCAAACUUCCCUAUUUGCCGUCAAAUGGCUUUUUCAGUUAGUUUGCUUGAAUCAGGAUAAAAACAAGACCUACACAGUGCAUUUAGUUAUCAAGACUUCUUUUAAUCUAGGGUGGUCUGUGUCCCUAUGAGAGUUUGAGAGGGUUUUAUAGUGUGAUGGGCUCAAGGUCUGAGACCUAGGGAAGCCCUGUACAGGCCAGGUGUUGGGCUGUUACCUAAUUUGCCUCAGGUAGAAAAACUUUUGCCAACAAAGUUAAAUCAUAAUUAUCAUUCAACAAGUUUUCAUGUCCAUUAUAUGUAUUCUUGGCACUGGGCGAGGCACUGAAGGUCCAGAAAGACAUGAGACACGAUCCCUGGGCUCAGAAAUCAGGCAGAGAGUGUCUGCUUUUUGACCACGAAAGUUUCUGCUGCAUGACCCACCAGAGGAUGUGAUGUUGCAGUAGAGGGAGGAGUGUGGCUGUCUCCAGGGAACCAGUCAAAGUGCAAUGCUGCAGAGUCCUGCUUAUGGCUUUUCUUUACAGUGUUGGAAUACACCAGACAACUGAGACUGCUGGCAAUUUUAAAGCCCAGUCAGAAAGGUGCCUAGUGAUUAGAGACAGGAGAUUCUGCCCUCCAUGCUAACACCCUCUCCCUUAGGGACGUACUGUCUGAUGUCAUAUUCCUUGGUCAGUAUAAAUUGUGUCAAGCCUCCAUAAAUAUGCCAAGUACUAGAUAUCAUUUGAAAAAUGGUUAAUGUCUCCCAGGAAGUAGCAUUCUAAAGGAAAAUAUAUACAAAAAAAUUUUUCCCCUUAUAUUUUCUUUAAUUAUGUCUUCUUCCUAAUUUGGAAGGAAUUCUUGAAAGUGAUGAGUUUACAGGGAAGAAAGGAGAAAGUCUUUUUUCUCAGGAAUAUGUGUAUUAGGGAGACAAAUGCCAAAGCUGGACCAAAACAGCACGGAGAGAAGCCUGGGGGGCAGGAAGGGCUCUGGACUGAGAAAUGGAAAGCCCUGGAGCUGAAGUCCUCGCUCUUCACUUACAGUUAUUUUAAAUUGAGCAAGUCACCAAACUUGCUUAAAAUCAGUUUUCCUUUCUAUAAAAUAACAAUGCCUUUUUCAUACGGCCUGUAAUGAAGAUGAAAUAAAAGAUGAUAAUUUCAAAACUUUCUAGACUUUGCAGCCCCCUUACAAAUAGGAAAGGAGUAUUAUUAUUACGGCCAUUAGGAGGAGGAAACCUGUCUGAAUUCUUUGGAAGAACAAAUAUUUACGAGAGUACUGUGUGGAUCAGAAGAUGGUGAGCCAAGGUCCUUGGAACUCAGAAUGAAGAAUGGUUCAAGACUAUUUAUUUAUUUAUUUCCAGAAUAAAGAAUGAAGUAUUUUUAAAAAUGAUGUAACUUUGUCUCAAUCUCUAUCAGUGUAGUAGCAAGAAUAAAAUUAACCUGACGUGUUGAGUAGGCUAAAUUCAUUCCGUGGCAGUGUUAAUGAGGAAUGCCUCUGCUUCAGUAUAAAAUAGAGUUAUAAUAAUGAAAAAUUGGCUUAUUGAGUACAGGUAUACACUACUGGGUCUUCUAUAAAGUUGAGAAGUCAGUGAACUUGUAGCUAUAUAGUGUAUUGAUUAUUUGCACAGAAAUUAUGACUUAAAUGCUAGUGGGAGAAAGAAAGGGGAGAUUUGACUAUUUGACCUUCAUACAACUGGGAGUCAGAAAACUUCAAGAGGGCGUGACAGGGAGACGGAUUUCAGAACCAGAGGAAGGUGUGAAAAGUGUAAAUACAACAGUCAAAUAUCCUCUGGGUGCCUUAAAACUAAGCUGGGGGACAAUUUUGUUUUUGUUAGUAUUCUGGGUGCUCAAUCUGUGGUAAUUACAAUAUAUGGCAAUGUAAAACUUGCAUUGAUGCCAGCCCCCUUCGAUGUUCUAGGUAUUCUUGGAUGGUCAUUAAGUAAACCAAGCAUAUGCUGGUAUGUUCAGCUGAGCCCUUCUAGAAUUUCCAACAGAAAGCCAUUGAAUUAGGUGAUGAAGGUGGAAGGUAAAGAAGUAUCAAAUAAGAGGAGUGGUGAAAUUCAGAGUAACAAGGAUUGCUUGUAUAACAGCACAUAAGAUGCCUUUAUUUUAAUGGUGUAUCUAAACUAUAGGAUGAUUUAAACACUUGGCAUGUUAUGACUACAUCACUCUCCACCACGAAAUUACCAUUUCUAUUUCUUUAGUAUCAUCUAUUUUUGUAUCAUACAUUUUAUUUAUUGAGCACCUACUAUUCGGGAGCACAGUGUCAGGUGUAUGUGAGGGAACAGUCUUCAUUCGUCAAUGGCAGAGUGAGAUCAAGCAUGAUUAAAAACUCAACAGUAACCAGGGGUGGAUAAUUACUAAUGCAUUAGUGGCAAGUGCCAUUUCAGACGAAUGGGAAGAGGAAUGACGCAGAUAGUUUUUGCUCUGUCUCUUUUCUGGCAAUAUGAUUGUCACAUACUCAGGCCUUGCAAGGAUUCCAAGUUGUAAGUAUUGAGGGUAUCUAGUGAAUUAGAGACGUUAAUCAGUUAGCUGUUCCAUCCUGUGUCUCUAGGACUUGGACACUCUCUUUAGAUCUCAUUGCCAGACAUGUAAAAAACUGCCCUAAGACAUGAUCCUAAGACUUCCUCAAUAGAAUAUGAUCCCUAUGAGGGCAGUACUGGGGUCUAUCUUAGUCGCAACUGCAUCUCCAGUCCCUCACAUUGUGUCUGAAACAGAGUGGGAAUUCGGUAAAUAAAAAACUUUAUAUUUGUUGGAGAAAGAUCUUCCCUGAAACAGAAAAUUCCUUUGAAGCUUAAAUGUAUAUCACAAAGCUCUGAGGCCAUUAGAUGAAGUCUGAAAAAGAAAUGAGCACUUUUAGAAUCACUACAUUUCUUCCGAUGGACAGUAUAUCCCUCCAUCACAAGGAGCACCCAUACACAUAUGCCUACGCCCGUGCAUACCUACGUAGACUCACGUCUGCCCACUUUUUGGUCCUCUGAGCUUUUUAAUCUAGUUUAGAAAAAGAAAGGAAAAUGACAUGAAUUGAAAGUUGUACACUGUAGGCUUUAGACCUUAAAAGACAGUAUAUCAUCAGAGAAAUAAAUCCUUUCUUCUGAGACUGCCUGUAAUUUUUUUUGGCGAGUUCUCACUCUCCUUUUGCAACUUUCCCUCUUCCUUAGAGGAUUCUUUAAGUUCUAUCCAUCAUCUCAUUUACUGAAAUGUACCUCAUUUGGGAAUGAGAACAUUUUGGCAUAGCUGAGAGCUUUUAAUGGAAAUAUGAGAGAAGACAUUUCUGACAUAUAUAAUACCUUCAAUAUGUUGCCAUAUAUUGCACCAUCUCUGAUGCGUUACCCGAGAUGCAUAACGACAGAUGGGCCGAGGAACGAGAAGGAACACUCCCCAAGUGGGGAUUUCUUUAGAAACCAAAACUCCUUCCAAGGUGCUUUGAGCUAUUCUUAGCAAUUGGGGUUCAACACAUUCACCCCCAACAGAAGCAAAUGUCUGCCAAGAGGCUGCCUGUGGGAGCUUUGUUGCCUAGCAUUUUUCUCCAAACAAGAGUCAAGCCAGGCAGCGUAGUCUUAGACUCAGGGAAACCUAGAGCCAGAGCAUUGAGUCCCUGUUUUCAGGUGUGUGACUGUGGUCAAGUUACCUGACUUCUUCGAACCUAUGAUUCUUCAAUCAUGUAAUGGGGCUGAGAAGCAGUUUCUGUUCCAAACUCUGUAAUAAGCUAUGAGAAUUUUUUACAUAGCGGUGGAGAUUAUGAAAUUUUCAGUGUUCCUUACAGUUCUUUUAUGUAUCUGGAGUGGAAAUAUUUAGGAGGGAUGUUUCUUUUCCUUUUUUGUUUCACCCAAACCUAAUCUAAUCACUCGAUGACUCAAAUUUUUCCUCGAAUGCAAACCACACAUUCCAGGAUAAUGCAAAAUUUCAUUUUGGGGUGAGAGGAGUGAGCAAUAAUGUGAUUUGACCAUGUAUUAUGGGGUUAAGAAAAUUUAAAAACCAUCUCAAUGAAGAUACAGUUUUGGUAUCAAUAGCUGUACAGUCAUUAGCAAUGUUUUACUGUAUAGCCACUCUAAGAGCAUCUUUCUCCUUCUCUUAUUUUCUUUUUCUUUUUCGUACCUUGUCUGUCCCAUGCUAUAACACGGUCUGAGCGAGUGCAUAGAUCUGAAUCUAUAAAAUAUUUUAUAUGCUCUCUUUCUUAACCAUGUUCCUUGAGCUUGAGUUGUUUAUCAGAAUCUGCUUUUUUUUCUAACCAUCUUUUUGACUUGCACACAGUUUAGUUGCCUGUUUUCACCACACCCAUACGUUGUGCUGACAGGGCCUUGUGUUUUUUUCAGCAUAGUUUUCCCAUCUGGGGCGUGUGCUUGUUAUUGUAGUAGGAUAGAUAAAAUACCUACGUAAAGACGUAUUCGGGCCAAACUGAGCGUAUUCCCAGAUUUAUGGCUUGUUAGAGUAGGAGGGAACUGAGAGGUCUUUGGAGCCAAAACCUCAGCUUUGCAGAUGAGACAAGAGGGACUUAGAGAAGGGACUUUGGGGCAAGAGGGACUUACACAAGAGGGGCUUCCUGGGCAUUAUGGAGCUCAUGAUUCAUCAGGGGAACAAAUGCCUUUAGAAGGGAACAGCUACCAACAAAAGAAACCCUAGACUGUCUUCCUGGGUUAAUUUAGAAUUCUUUACUGGCAAUAACUAGGGCCAUUGGAAGUACAGAAAAUUAAACACAUUAUCUUGUUUCUCUGAACUAAUAAGAAUAUUCUUCAAAUUGGAAAAACAGUAUCCUUUUGCAGAUUGCAAAUCAGAAGACAUCUAUCCAUAACAGGCAGCUUUACUGGAUGUUCAAAUUUCUUUUGAAGGUGUACAGUAGGUAUGACUACAAAUAAAAUUUUUCCUGUUUUGCAUCCUUAAUGUGCCUACCAUGCUGACCACCCCCUAUCACUCACUGCCUACCUUCCCUGCCUCCGCCCCUGACUCCAGCCUAAACACCCAUUGCAAAGGCAUCCUCAUUGCUUGUUUUCAGCUGGCUUUUGUUCUGGUCUCAUGUCAGCCCAUCUCCGAAUGCUUGGCUUGGCAACCUUAAACUCCAUUUCUGCCUGUGGUUCUUAGACUUGGUGUUUGGCCUUGGUCUCCAUGGAGUUUGAAUUUUGUUCUGUUCAGUAGAUGAGGAAACAAAGGCUGAAUGAGAACAGCAGCAAGUCUGAGCUUGCAAGGGGAGGCAGAAGCUCUUCUAGUUGGGAUUUCUUGAUACAGGGACCAUUCCAUUCAUCACAGAAUCACACUGACAAGAUGUGAACACAAAGGGAGGCUCUGCUAUGUCAAGGACCAGUGAGUAUAUUCUGAGCAGAUUGCCUGCCUUAAGGAAUAGUGUCCUUUACCAAUACCGGUGAGAGGCAUGGGACUUCCCUCAAAGGAACACCCUACCACAUGUUCAGAACUUGCCAUUUUCGGAUUCUCGGCCACUCAGCAUUCUCCAGCCACUCUCUACUCUUCUUCUUCACUGAUCUUAUUGCCCAUACCCGUGGUGCACACACCUUGCUCCUCUGAGCAAGCACACUAUUCACCUUCUAUGACCUGGGUUUCCCUUCUGACUUUACUUUUGUUUCUCCUGAGCAGUUUGAUCACCAAGCUUUCAGUUAAUAAUCCCUUUUUCACUUCUAGAAACUUCUUCCCGGACACCUCCCAUUCAGGCAACAUUUCACUCCACUCCUUUUGGAUGGAUUCAGGAAAGUGUAUAAAUUGUUCCUGAAUCAAGCAAAUUGCAGAUACUCUUUAGAGUGAAGAUGCUGGUGUUCCACAUCCAAUUGCUCUCGUCUUUCCAAGACUGUGGCACUCCAGGAAAUCUUCCCUACUGAAGGGGGACCACGAGCUACAGUAUCUCUUAGAUGAAAUCAACCGGCUCAGUCUGGGUCUCUCUGUCUGUGUCACACCCAACAUGCUGUCCUCAUGGCUGGAGAGUCAAUCAAUACUCCUUAAUGGUGCAGCUCAUUGCCCUGCACUGAGGAAGCAUUGCAAACUAAAAGGAAGAAAAGUAACAAAGAACUUGAAGACUUUCAUGACUCCCAGGCCCUGGAUGGAGGCAGGCGGCACCAGACAGACAGAACCAAGAAAUCAGAGGGGCAGCCAGGAGGUGCCUGUGGCUGCAGAGCCCAGAAUUGUCUUUGGAAAAGAUUGAGAAGAGCCAGUAAACUUGGCUUCCUAACUUCUGCUUCUCAUCCCCAUCAGCAGAGAGAAAUAAUGACUCCCGAAUCAUUUCAGAAUCAAAAAGUUAAAACGAUGUCUCAAUGAUGCUACAUCAUGCCAGACACGGGCGAAUGGUUUGAAGAUAUUGGCCUAGCAAGAUGGCAACGGGUUUAAAAAAUUCAUAAGAUUCAUAGGAUUCAUAAGAAGUUACUUUUUUCAGGUAAUGGUAUUUUCCUAUAAUUUCCCAAACCUUCCAUUUCCUCAAGUUUUGCAAAUUUUUAGGGCCUGCUUGAAUGAUUUAAUUAUGAAGAAUAACUGCACUUUAAACUUGAUUUGUAAAAAUAGCAACCAGUUUUAUAAUAUUCGUAGCCAAUGAGUAGAGCAGCCAUGGCAUUCAAUUCUGUGGAGUUCAGAAAAUGUUUUGAAAGUUAUUACUUAACAGUGCUUAUUUCUUUUGACAAUGAUUUAGGCAGAACUCAUGUGAAACUAUCGGGCACUGUCCAUAAACUCUGUGACUAUCUUGGGUAAUUGAAUUUAAAAAUAUGAGUAUUAGAGGAUUGUCUCUAAAAAGCCUACCAUGUGCCCUGAAUUCCUGGAAGAUAGGUCUCAUAUAAAUUGCAUAAUAACAAUAAUGGUGUUUUAACUUUCAGCCUAGAUUGGUAAUACUAUAAGGCAUUUUAUGGAACUAUACUUAUACAUGUGCAGUAACUACGAUUUGAGCUCAGCUAUCAUGAUAUAGGUAGUUUUCUUUUAGUAUUCCUAAAGGACUUUGUGCCGCUUAAAAAUGUUUGAUAACAUAAAUGAUAUAUUUUCUUGAUAAAUUACUUUACACUGCUUUUGCUAUUGUUUAUAGGCAUUAGCCUACAUUUUCCAACUUAAUUAUUAGUGUUACCAUGUAAGAGAGCCCAACAGAAUCUUGGUUAAUAAGGCAAGCCAAAAUUUCCUCUGAAAAGAACCCUUAUUUUUUUCCCCAACACAAAGAAGGUUCUUGAAGGAGGCAUCCAAUUAAUAUUUUUGGGAAAAUACCUACUCCCAAACAAACCAUUUUUCUGCUAGGUCAGUAUUUGAUUUUCUUUUUUUUCUGCAGCCUAGGCAUCUUCUAAUUUCUCUUUUAUUUUCUGAAAUUAAAACUGGAUUGUUUAGAAGCUAACACUACAAACCAUUUGGAAUGAAUAACUUCUCUGUCCUAAAUUUGCCCAAAAAAAGAUACAGAGAUGGCCCCAAUUGAAACACAGCAUUGACCUCCUUUCUAUGGACUUCAAGGGUGCAAAUACAUGAAGGAGGUGCUACUUGAAUGUAAAUGUGACACUUUGACAGAUCUUUGUCCAUUGCUAACAAAUAUUGUGUUCUAUCUUUUUAAUAAAUAUGAUAAUGACAAUUAGUUCUCAUGACUUUGGAAGCCUGGGCCUAUUCCUUCCCAUUUUAAUAAGAGCGCCUACAUCUCACGUGUUCCAGAAAUCUUUAACAGUGUUCAAAGUGCCCAUCCUCAAAUACUUCUGGCUCCAGGCCUUUGUCAGAGGGAUCAAAGGAAAAGAGACUUGAAGUUCAUUUUAAAAUUUUUUAUUUUAGAAAGGAAAUGAACAUUUAUAAAUAAAAUAAAAUAAAGACCAUUUUGAGGUGACUGGUUUGGAUCCAUUUACUUCCACUUGCUAUUGUUGUUUCUUUGGAUCUAAAAGUCAAGCCACGGAGCUGCAACUAAGUUCUUGGUUUUGGCACCCUUCACAGCGCCAGGCGGCUCCAAGCAAUUGCAGCCACAGCUCAGUCCUGAUGAAACAGGCGGCAGUGAAGUGUUGAUGAGCAGUUGCGUCUCAGCCCCUAUUCAUUCUUUUGUUGGUUUCCCGUUCUCCUGCUUUCACCUUUCACCUUUGUGUAUAUAACAGCCUCCUCUUUUCUCUGAAUAAUUCCCAAAUUUGGCUCUUUUUUGUUGUUAGUAGAGUCUCCCAGAUUCUUGAGAACGGAAUGAAUGUUCAUAUGUCGAGGCAAAGGAGAUAAAGUUUUUGUGAGCUAGGAUCUAUAGACAUUGCUAACAAAAAUUGAAAAGGUCUCUUUUUAGGUCCUGCAAAGAGCUGGAGGCAUAUGUUUUUCCCAGUGUCUAGAAAGGGGGAAUAUUUUGCUUUUCAUCAUGCAUCCUUGAAGUACUUAUGAUUAAGACUGUCUUCAAUACAAUUCACAAAAGGAACCAUUAAUGAAAGUUCAUUGUCUUGGAUGUUCCAUUCUUACAAGUGAACAUUGGUUUUGAAGAAAGGAUUUUAUGUUGACAAAUUAAAUCCUUUUAUAAGAAGACCUCAGAAACAGAUUCAUUCCUACAUCCUGGAGCAAUUUCGGGGGAAGAAAUUAUACAAUUUCUUUUCUGGUUGAAGUUUUAUAAAAUAUGCCCUAACUUGCUCAUUGUUGGUGUUUGGACCAAUAAUGAGGGUGGGUAUGAGGGUGGAGUGCAAACAUAAAUACAAACUUUUCCUGAAGAUGAAUCUUUCAAUGUAAUAUAGCUGGAAAUGUCCUCUAGAAUAGUUUUCAGAAAAUGCUAGCCUAUUGGAGGUGUUUUAUUCCAGCUGUUUUCCAGAAUGCAAAUAGAAAGGAAAAGUUCACCAUCCCUUUUCAUGUAAUUACAGGUAUUUAACAAAAUGAGGGGCCCGCCGGCUGGUGUAGUGGUUAAGUUUGUGCCCUCCACUUCGGCAGCCUGGGGUUCUCUGGUUCAGAUCCUGGGCAUGAAUCUACACACUGCUCAUCGAAGUCACUGUGUGGUGACCUCCCACAUACCAAAUAGAGGAAGAUUGGCCCAGAUGUUAGCUCUGGGCCAAUCUUCCUCAAUCAAACCAAACCAAACCAAACCAAACCAGAACAUGAAUUUUGGCUGUCAUGUUUCCCUCUCUCUCUGCCAACAAUUUAAAAAAUUUUCUUUAUCCUGCUGAUUUGCAUACGAUAUCACUUUGCCCUGAUGUGUGUUAAGAACUGAAUAAAUGAGUCUUCUGUAGUAUUAAAUAGUAAAUGACAAGGUUUACCUAAAGCUCACUGUACCUGUGGAGUAAGUGAAAACAAAGGGAGAUGUGUGGGGGAGAACAGAGAAGAUGCAGGAUGAAGUCUUUCCAUUUCUGGCAUAAAACAAUAGAAUGGCAGAACCUUUGAUUGGACUAAUGAUUUUAACGUUUUAUUUUCAGACAUGUCAAACCCCCAAACGAGAGAAGAUACUGAGGCCUGUUGCCACAAACCCGUAGAUCCGAACUUGUGGUGAUAGUCCACACAAGCUUGUGUCUAUAGGUAUGUGUCUGUUAGGCAAUCUCACAGACCGCGGGCUUUGGCUGUAUGCCACUCAAUAUCCCUUCAAAUACCUUUAUUCUCCCUUUCUUCCCCUUAGUUUGCUUUAAGAGUGGUAGAAAUGGAAAGAGGGGCUGACAUGGAGGAAGGAGAACUUUUGAUCUGAAAUGGAUGAGGUUCUUCGAUGAUUAAUUUAUAGGCUUGCCUUCAACUUCCUUAUCUCUUAUAACUACUCUGAGCCGUCAAAUUAAGAGACUGGGCUUGCAGGUGAGGCGGCAAGAAUUUCUGUGACUCAGACAGCUUACUGUUGAGUGAUGAGUAAAUUGAUACAUAAACAAGGGUUUGUUUUGUUUUCUGUAAGCCUGACUAAUGGUUUUCAGAGUUAUUAUGAUCUUUUUUGGAAACUGACAGAGACGUGUUUUCAAGACCUGUUUCACCCUAGUUUGAGUUAUACCUUACAGCAAUUCUUCCUCACUCAUUGCUCUCCAAGCGCAGUCAAAUCAGUCCUUAUCUUUAAAAAUAAAACUAAUGAGAGGAAUGAAUGUGCUUAACUAUUUAUCCUUCUAUAAAUACCCAGCACUGUAAGAAAAAGAACUUUUUAUAAAAAAGAAUUAGCCUGUUUAAGUCCAACUUCAUACUUGGCCAGGGCUGUUUUAUAAGUCUUCACCAUGUUUAAAAGGCUGGAAUGAAAAUAAUUUUAUCCCCUUGCCUCUUAAAUGUCACCAUUGUGCCAGGAUUGGAAAGCCAAACUGACUAGAGAUCAAAGCAAAACUGGCUGUAUUUGUCUCAUUCCAACAAUGUGAGCUGAAGAGUCUGUAAACAGAACCCAGGGUGAAAAGUUGAUCAGAUUUGGAUAACUCUUAAACUUUUGCAUUCCCUUUUGGUCAAACAUAGUGCCAGGAAUUCUCGUAAGAUUUUUUUUUUCUAUGCAGCCUCAUCUAGCAAAAAGAGUUCAAUAUGAAGUAGUUAUUGAGUUAACAUCAGCAAGAAGUUUGAAACUCAAGUAGAUACAUUUUAUUUCAUUAAAUUCUGUUUCCUCUUAAGAGCCAUGCUGUUCAGGGAUAGCUAGAACUCUUUCGUUCAUUGAGUAUAUAAAAUGCAAUUUUGUUUGUUGGAAUUAGCAAGGCCCAGAUAGAGAUCACCUACGUUUAAAGGGUAGAAUCAAGCUCUGUAGAUGCUGCACCCAGGGGAUAUUGUGUAUAUGCAUUUCCUUUGCGUUUCCCCUGCAUAGCGUUGAGGAGGGUUGUCUAUACAUCUCAACUUUCAGCUUGCCAAGAAAUCAUUGCUUUACUAUGGAAUGAUGGACCUUUACAUCCAGAAGAGAAAGACUGUCUCCACUGGUGUGUAUCAUGUAUUAUUGUUUGCCCAAGGCCUUUAUCCACCCAUUAAGCAAAUAAUCUACUUGGUUGGUUUGACAUGCCUCUUUGAAGUGGUUGACUUAGAAUGGAUAAGCUGCUAACAAAUUAAACUUGUACCUUCCCUGGAUAAACACUUGUGUUUGAUAAAAGCAAAAUCACGUCUCUACUCAUCAUCCCUUCAACCUGUUGUUAAGUGUGCUACCAGUGGGACCAAUGGAGUUCCUGAAUCUAAGGGGACACUGAGCUGCCUGUAUUCCCUGUACAGGGACAAAACAAGGGCUGCAGGAUGGCCAGUAGGUGACUGCCAGGUUGUUACUUUUAAAGAGGUUUUUUCUUUUAAAGAGGUUUUUUAAACCCAUCACCCCAAGCAAAAAGAUUAUGCAGAACAGUCAAUCUUUUCAAAGUUUCUAAAAGAACUAAGACGUUAUUAUUUGAUUCACCUGGCUAGAAAAUAUUCUAGUGGAAAGCCCAAAGCCUCUGGACCCUGGCC